Molecule: transfer RNA, 70 nt
Filed under: Holothuria spinifera
Lineage: Eukaryota; Metazoa; Echinodermata; Holothuroidea; Aspidochirotida; Holothuriidae
Also listed under: 1 other name
Description: tRNA-Asn
Rfam family: tRNA
About the family: Transfer RNA (tRNA) molecules are approximately 80 nucleotides in length. Their secondary structure includes four short double-helical elements and three loops (D, anti-codon, and T loops).
Source: RNAcentral
UGAGUUGAAGCUGAAAGAUAGCAUUUGGCCGUUAACCAAAAGGAUGAAGGUUAAACCCCUUUCAACUCAG